This 491-nucleotide ribosomal RNA is filed under the name uncultured bacterium. RNAcentral describes it as "bacterial SSU rRNA". It matches the Rfam family "Bacterial small subunit ribosomal RNA", at positions 29 to 510 of the family's 1533-position model. The record is from RNAcentral.
AAUGAACGCUGGCGGCGUGGAUUAGGCAUGCAAGUCGAACGCGAAAGUUCCCUUCGGGGAGCGAGUAGAGUGGCGAAAGGGUGAGUAAUGCUUGGAUGACCUGCCCUCGAGACGGGGACAACAGUUCGAAAGGACUGCUAAUACCCGAUAGUCCGGUUUAGAUGCGUCUAGAUCGGUAAAUGGUGCUUCCGCUCGAGGAGGGGUUCAAGUCCUAUCAGCUUGUUGGUGAGGUAACGGCUCACCAAGGCGAUGACGGGUAGCCGGACUGAGAGGUUGGCCGGCCACAUGGGAACUGAGACACUGUCCUGACUCCUACGGGAGGCUGCAGUCGAGAAUCUUCUGCAAUGGGCGAAAGCCUGAUCCAGCAAUGCCGCGUGUGUGAAGAAGGCCUGAGGGUUGUAAAGCACUUUCAAUCGUGAAGAAAAGUUGCAGGCUAAUACCCUGUGACCUUGACGUUAACGAUACAAGAAGCACCGGCUAACUCCGUGCCA